This 467-nucleotide ribosomal RNA is filed under the name uncultured bacterium. RNAcentral describes it as "bacterial SSU rRNA". It matches the Rfam family "Bacterial small subunit ribosomal RNA", at positions 30 to 490 of the family's 1533-position model. The record is from RNAcentral.
AUUGAACGCUGGCGGCAUGCCUUACACAUGCAAGUCGAACGGCAGCACGGGAGCAAUCCUGGUGGCGAGUGGCGAACGGGUGAGUAAUAUAUCGGAACGUGCCCAGUAGUGGGGGAUAGCCCGGCGAAAGCCGGAUUAAUACCGCAUACGACCUGAGGGUGAAAGCGGGGGAUCGCAAGACCUCGCGCUAUUGGAGCGGCCGAUAUCAGAUUAGCUAGUUGGUGGGGUAAAGGCCUACCAAGGCUACGAUCUGUAGUUGGUCUGAGAGGACGACCAGCCACACUGGGACUGAGACACGGCCCAGACUCCUACGGGAGGCAGCAGUGGGGAAUUUUGGACAAUGGGCGCAAGCCUGAUCCAGCAAUGCCGCGUGCAGGAAGAAGGCCUUCGGGUUGUAAACUGCUUUUGUCAGGGAAGAAAUCUUCUGGGCUAAUACCCCGGGAGGAUGACGGUACCUGAAGAAUAAG